UUGACUAUAUCACACUCCCACGAACCCACUGAGGCAAGUGCCAUGUUCUUACAAUGGUGGAAACAACCACUGGAUGGCUGGAAACAUAUCCUGUAAACCAUGCCACUGCCUGAAACACCACCUUAGGCCUUGAAAGGCAAAUGUUAUGGCAACAUGGUACCCCAGAAAGAAUUGAAUCAGACAAUGGGACUCAUUUCUGAAAUAACCUCAUAAGCUCCUGGGCAAAGAAACAUGGCAUUGAGUGGG
This is a long non-coding RNA of Aquila chrysaetos chrysaetos, 246 nucleotides long. RefSeq lists it as uncharacterized. The record is from RefSeq and is a predicted model, not a curated record. The transcript has 3 exons. Lineage: Eukaryota; Metazoa; Chordata; Aves; Accipitriformes; Accipitridae.